GACGAAGGUGGCGAGCGUUGUUCGGAAUCACUGGGCAUAAAGCGCACGUAGGCGGCGGCGUAAGUUGGAUGUGAAAUCCCCCGGCCCAACCGGGGAACUGCGUCCAGUACUGCGUUGCUUGAGGAUCCAAGGGGUGCAUGGAAUUCCCGGUGGAGCGGUGAAAUGCGUUGAUAUCGGGAGGAACUCCGGCGGCGAAAGCGGCUUCCUGGUCCAGCACCGACGUUCAGGCACGAAAGCGUGGGGAGCAAACAGG
Molecule: ribosomal RNA, 253 nt
Filed under: uncultured bacterium
Lineage: Bacteria
Description: partial 16S ribosomal RNA
Rfam family: Bacterial small subunit ribosomal RNA
Source: RNAcentral